RNAcentral lists this ribosomal RNA (486 nucleotides) under uncultured Coxiellaceae bacterium. RNAcentral's name for it is "bacterial SSU rRNA". It matches the Rfam family "Bacterial small subunit ribosomal RNA", at positions 30 to 505 of the family's 1533-position model. The record is from RNAcentral. Lineage: Bacteria; Pseudomonadati; Pseudomonadota; Gammaproteobacteria; Legionellales; Coxiellaceae.
AUUGAACGCUAGCGGCAUGCUUAACACAUGCAAGUCGAACGGCAGCGCGGAGAGCUUGCUCUCUGGCGGCGAGUGGCGGACGGGUGAGUAACGCGUAGGAAUCUGCCUUGUAGUGGGGGACAACUCGGGGAAACUCGGGCUAAUACCGCAUAAUCUCUACGGAGGAAAGUGGGGGAUCUUCGGACCUCACGCUAUAAGAUGAGCCUGCGUCAGAUUAGCUUGUUGGUGGGGUAAAGGCCUACCAAGGCGACGAUCUGUAGCUGGUCUGAGAGGAUGAUCAGCCACACUGGGACUGAGACACGGCCCAGACUCCUACGGGAGGCAGCAGUGGGGAAUAUUGGACAAUGGGCGCAAGCCUGAUCCAGCAAUGCCGCGUGUGUGAAGAAGGCCUUCGGGUUGUAAAGCACUUUCAGCGGGGAAGAAAGGCUCAAAGUUAAUAGCUUUGAGAGUUGACGUUACCCGCAGAAGAAGCACUGGCUAACUCUG